UUUUUUAAAUUCUUGUAAAAAACUCAUAAAGUCCCUACAAUUUAGUUGGUCUUACAAGUUGCCGUUUCGAAUUAUGUAAUUAUACGUAGAAGUCAAAGUCUUCUGCUUUUUUUUUACCAAGAGAAAGUAACGUAUUUGACAUGUAAGUUUGAAAAACUAAGGCUCUGAAUGUUUUGUAGUUUUUAAUUGGUUCUUAGUUUCUAGUUUUUGGAUUUUGGUUUUUAGUUUUUGAUUUUUGUAGUUUGUGAUUUUUGUUGUAGAUUUUAAAUUUUGCAAAAUCUUGAAUGGCAAUUUGUUUAGCUUUUAGUUUUUUACAUCCCUUUAUUAUUAAAAGGGAAGUACAAAUUGAAAUUUUGUCUAAUUUGGCCUCAAUUUUGAUUUCAAUUUUGGAUUUUGUUCUUUGCUAUUCAAAAUCAUUAAGGGUAAUUUGGUCUUAACAAUCUCCUAAACUUUAUAUGAUCCGAUGCAAUCUAAACUGUUCAAUAAAAUUAAUUCCCUUCAAUCUAAACCGUUCAACAAAAAUAAGAAAUUUAUGUCGUUUUUGAAAUCAAAAUAUGAUCACAUUCCAUCCCUAAAAACACUAUAUUCAAUCACGAAAUCAAUAAUCAAUAAUAUCUAAAUCAUAUAUUACGAUUCUUCACUAAUCACUAGAAAUUUAUAUUUAUAAGUUUAGGAUAUCAAAUUUAUUCAAAUAUUUAGUAUAAGAACUAAAUAAACCGAUUGUCCGCGGUUUGUUAAAACCUAGUAAUAUUUAUUUUUCAACGUUUUUAAGUUCUCUAUUUUAAUUUAUAGUUUUUUUUU
Molecule: small RNA, 801 nt
Filed under: Arabidopsis thaliana (thale cress)
Lineage: Eukaryota; Viridiplantae; Streptophyta; Magnoliopsida; Brassicales; Brassicaceae
Description: ATSL170810
Source: RNAcentral